CACGGGGGGAGCAAGCGUUGUUCGGAUUCAUUGGGCGUAAAGGGCUCGUAGGUGGCUUUGUAAGUCGGAGGUGAAAUCCCGGAGCUCAACUUCGGAACUGCCUCUGAUACAGCACGUCUUGGGUCCGGAAGAGGUGGGUGGAAUUCCUAGUGUAGAGGUGAAAUUCGUAGAUAUUAGGAAGAACACCGGUGGCGAAGGCGGCCCACUGGUCCGGUACUGACGCUGAGGUGCGAAAGCGUGGGGAGCAAACAGG
Molecule: ribosomal RNA, 253 nt
Filed under: uncultured bacterium
Lineage: Bacteria
Description: partial 16S ribosomal RNA
Rfam family: Bacterial small subunit ribosomal RNA
Source: RNAcentral